This is a long non-coding RNA of Piliocolobus tephrosceles (Ugandan red Colobus), 4939 nucleotides long. NCBI's taxonomy places the organism in Eukaryota, Metazoa, Chordata, Mammalia, Primates, Cercopithecidae. The record is from Ensembl.
AUGAUAAUACAAUACAUAUAUAUAAAGGAACAUACGAAGCAAAUAAUGAUUAUGCUAUGUCUAGAAAUAUGACCACAGAAAAUGCAUUGUUAGGUAGUACUAGCAGUAAUAAUAAUAAUAAUAAUAAUAAUAAUAAUAAUAACAAUGGUAAUGUAUUUUUAGAAAAUAUAAACUAUGUUAACUAUAACCAUGGAAACUGUGAAAAUGCAGCUACUAGUACAAAUAAAGAGAAUAAUAGUUUUAUUAGUAAUGGUGGUGUUAUCACUAACACAUGUAGCUACGAGAACAAUAUACUUUUGAAUAAUAUCAAAAUGAAUAGUUACAAUUUAGCACUUAGUAGUAAUCAUGAACUGAAUAAGCAGAUGUAUAAUAAUAUCAAUAAUAAUAAUAGCAUUAGCAAUAACAAUAACAAUAAUUAUAAUAAUAAUAAUAAUAAUAACUACUGUUAUAUAUCGAAUAAAUGUAAUACUAAUAGUAACUUCCAAAUGGGGGCGCAAAAAAUAGUGAAUGAUAAAUGUAUUGCAGGUCAGUGUGAUAUGGAGCAGGAUGGAAUAAUCGAAUAUGAUAAAAAAGUAAUAGACGUAAUGAAUAUGAGUUAUACUGCUAAUAAUGGUAGUAGUGGUAGUGUUAAUGGUAGUAGUGGUAGUGUUAAUGGUAGUAGCGGUAGUGUUAAUGGUAGUAGUGGUAGUGUUAAUGGUAGUAGUGGUUAUGGUAAUGGUAGUAGUGGUUAUGGUAAUGNNNNNNNNNNUGGUAGUAGUGGUUAUGGUAAUGGUAGUAGUGGUUAUGGUAAUGGUAAGAGUAAGAGUAACAAUAUUAUUAUUAAUGGUAGUAAUAAUAUCAACUAUGAUUUAGUUAAUAUGAACAAUUAUGCCACUAACAUCGAUAACAACGACAUGAACGAUAACAACGGGAGUAGCGAUGUUUCCAAUUAUAAUAAUAAAAAAAACGUAAACCUUAAUUUAAUGAAUAAUAUAAAUAGCUUACAUACCAAUUACAAUAAAAGUGUUAUACCUAAUGGUGCCAACGCGAAAAUUAAUUUUAAAGGAUUAAAUAAAAAUAACAGUUUAUUAAAUGGAUCAUUAAAUAGACCGUUGAAUAGCAGUAUGGUGCAGGAAGUAGAUAGUAAUGCUAGUAACAUUAGUGGUUGCAAUGAUAAUAUUAAUAUUGGUGUUAAUAAAAAUUUAAACAAUGUUAAUAGUUUGGAACAAAACGCGCAUAUAAUAAGAAAGCAAAAUAAUUUUAAAGAUAAUAAAAAUGAUAACGUAAGUGGUAAUAACGUAAGUGGUAAUAACGUAAGUGGUAAUAACGUAAGUGGUAAUAACGUAAGUGGUAGUAACGUAAGUGGUAAUAACGUAAGUGGUAGUAACGUAAGUGGUAGUAACGUAAGUGGUAAUAACGUAAGUGGUAGUAACAUAAGUGGUAAUAACGUAAGCGGUAGUAACAUAAGUGGUAAUAACGUAAGCGGUAGUAACAUAAGUGGUAACAAAAAUAACCACUUAAAUAACACAUCUAUUACAAGCACAAAUACAUGUAUGAAAGCAACACACCCACCACCUCCACCUUCACCUUCACCUUCCCCUCCACCCCCAACAGUCAUAAACACAAACAAUACAUCCAAAAUUAAUAAUGAUGGUAGUGGAAAUAGAUACAAUAACGAGAGUAAUAGUAGUAACAUAAUUAGCAGUAAAAAUGUAUUAACAAAACAAAUAAACUACAAAACAGAAAAUAAUAACAAUAAUAACAAUAAUAACAACAAUAAUAAUAAUAAUAAUAAUAAUUAUACGAAUAGUGACAUAAAUUCAGUCACUAGUAGUGCUAUCGAUAUCAAUACGAGCGUUAAUACUAGUACUACUAUCAAUCCCAAUGUAAACAACAUUGACAUCACAUUAAAUAACAAUGAAACAAACACAAACCAUAAUAUGAGUGUUGCUUAUCAUAACAAUUACUAUCCCAACACUAUAAGUAAUAAAAACUCAAACUUAGGUGAAUGUAAUAUGAAUGAUAGUGGAAAUAUAAGUUAUAUUACUUAUAUAAAUAAUUCAAAUUUUAUAAACAAUAUUAAUAGAAUUAAUAUGAACGAAAUGGAAUAUAGUGGAUAUAAUUCGAAUGCUAAUGUAAGUGAACAAAUGCACUAUUAUGUUGAAAAGAAUAGUACCAUAUUAAACAGUCAUACUAAUACCAAAGUAAUAAAACAAACAUUAAAUAGUGCUGAUACUACUACUGCUGAUGUUAUAAGUUACAAUAGUACAUAUAACAUAAAUAAUACAAAUAAUUUGGUAAAAAAUAACAGAACGGUUGUACGUUGUUUUGCUCUACCCAAUUUAAAUAAUAGAGGUAGUAAAAGUAUAAAUAUAAAAAACGACCAAUGUAGUAAUAUUAAUAGUAAUGACGAAUGUUGUAGUAACAACGAUGAUCUGAAGGAUUUGGUUAUUAAUAAUGAUAAUAAAGAUAACAACAAAAAUGGUAACAAUAAUAUAGAAACUGAUAGUAUAACAAAUACGACUAACACAAACAUGAACACAAAUAUUAAUAAGAAUGGAAAGAAUAAAAAUAAGAGUGGCAAUAAAAUUACAAAAAAUAAUAAAAAUAAGCAAAAAAAUGCUAUUGACAAUUCUGAUAGUGUUGAUAAUUGUAGCAAUGGUAGUACCAGGGGUAAUAGUAGUAACAACAAAACGAAUAGCACUAACGAAGUGUAUAAUGAAAAUAUUGUUGGUGGCACUAACAAAAAUAAUACUAAUACCAACAGAAAACAUAAUGACCAUAAUAUUGAUAGUACAAAUGAAAAAAGUAGUUAUAAGAGUAGUGAAGUAGUAGAUAAUGGUGGUAAGAUAGUAGACAAUUGUAAUGGAGGCACUAUUAUUUGUGGUAGUAAUAAUAAUAACAACACUUUGUUUAAUAAAAAAAAUAAUAAUAAUUGGAAUUACAACAACUCUUUGAAUGAAAUAGCAGAGGUGGGAAUGAAAGCAGAAGAAGAGGUAGAAGAAGAGGUAGAAGCAGGAGUUGAACCAGAAAUAGAACCAGAAAUAGAACCAGAAAUAGAACCAGAAAUAGAACCAGAAAUAGAACCAGAAAUAGAACCAGAAAUAGAACCAGAAUUAGAACCAGAAGCAGAAGCAGAAGCAGAAGCAGAAGCAGAAGCAGAACCAGAAGUAGAAGCAGAAGCAGAACCAGAACCAGAACUAGAAGCAGAAACAGAAACAGAAGCAAAGGAAGGAAACUGGAUUAUAAAAAAUACAAAUCAACAAUUAGGUAAUGAUGAAAAAGAAAAUGGUAUUAUAGAUAUAAAUAGCGAUGGUAAUAACAAUAGUAACAAUGCUUAUACAAAGUGCAUUUUAAAUAAUUCAAAUUAUUUUAAAGUAGAUAAUAUGAAAACGUGUAAAAGAGGUUAUGGUUAUUGGAAAAAUGGAACUUAUCAAUUAUUAUUAAAAGGCAAUUAUCAUCAACAUCCUUCAUCUACUAUUCCUAAUACACCAACUAUAAUUGCAACCGCAUCUUCUACUGUUUCAAGCAAUGUCGUUACCAAUAGCAAUGUCAAUGCCAAUUUACAUGUGAACGAAGUUAUGAAUUGCAGCGGAAUAAAUAAUGAUGUAUUAAAUUCAAACAAUAUUCACAAUAUUAGAUCCGGUACAAAUAAUUUAAAUAGCACACAUAAUAUAAACAAUAUAAAUAAUGUGAAUAAUGUGAUUAAUGCGAAUAAUGUGAAUAAUGUGAAUAAUGUGAAUAAUAUAAAUAGUAUGAAUAAUAUAAAUAAUAUAAAUAGUAUGAAUAAUAUUAAUAACGACAUAGAUAGUAAUAAUAAUAUGGAAAAAAACUAUCGUGCUUGUAUGAAAUCCGUUAAGAACUUCAACAAUUAUACAAAUAUUAUAAUACAAAAUAAAUUGAUGAAUCUAAAUAUGAUAGACAUAAAUAAAAUGAAUAACAAUAUUCCCAGUGCGCGUAAAAGCAACAUGAGCACAAUUGCCAGUGGUAACAACAACAUGAAUAAUAAUAGUAAUAAUAAUAGUAAUAAUAAUAAUAAUAAUGUAGGCAUUAGCAAUAAUUACAACACGAUUGGAGAUAAUAACAACUCCGGUAAAAUCAACUGCAGCAACAUGAGCUAUAAUCCAAACAACAUAAAUGAAAAUGUAAAUAUGAACAUGAAUAUGAAUAUGAACAUGAACAUGAAUAUGAGCAUGAACAUGAAUAUGAACAUGAAUGGUGCUCAUAAUUUCGUCCAUAAAAAAGGUAAUAAUAUAGAUAAUUUCAAUUUAACAAAUAAUAUGAAUAUGCUUAUGAAUAACUUUUAUGUUAAUAAUGAUAACUCAUUUAAUAAAAUAAAUACAAACCAUAACAACAAAAUAAAUAAUAAUAUAAAUAAUAAUAUAAAUAAUAAUAUAAAUAAUAAUAUAAAUAAUAAGAAUAAUACCCAUAACCCUUAUUUUAAUAAUAAAAAUGAAGUAAAUGUAGCUACUGUAAUGACGAAUAACCAAUUUUAUAAUACUUCUUAUGUUGAUAGCUAUAGUGAUAAUUAUAUUGAUAACAGUACAAACCAUUAUGGUAAUAAUUAUGUAAAUAAUUACACAAAUAAAAUAAAUAACAAAUCGUUUAACUUAAAAAAUAAUAAUGUGCCUAUUAUGUCUAUGUAUGAUGAGAAAAAAGAAGAUGCCGGAAUAUAUUAUGGUUAUAAUGAAAAUAAUUUUACAAAUAAAAACAUGUAUGCAGAAAAAUGUCAUUAUUUGGAAGAAUCACAAGACAAUAACAUCUAUGCUACAUAUCCGCCUAAUUAUGAUAUUAAAAAUAAGGACAAAAUUUUUUUUUACGAUUCAUAAAGAAAAUUAAGAUACCUGCACGUACAUAAAGCAUAUGGAGUUAUAUAUGAAAUUUUUAGGAAUCGCUAGAAACGCAAAUACACAUGUAACAGCACAAUAAAGUACAUUACAUCGUUUGUCUGUAUUUCUGG